This 605-nucleotide ribosomal RNA is filed under the name Penicillium sp. HD-2014. RNAcentral describes it as "eukaryotic LSU rRNA". The stretch from base 202 to 355 matches the Rfam family "5.8S ribosomal RNA". Lineage: Eukaryota; Fungi; Ascomycota; Eurotiomycetes; Eurotiales; Aspergillaceae. The record is from RNAcentral.
UCUGAUGGGACUGCGGAGGACAUUACUGAGUGAGGGCCCUCUGGGUCCAACCUCCCACCCGUGUUUAUUGUACCUUGUUGCUUCGGCGCGCCCGCCUCACGGCCGCCGGGGGGCAUCCGCCCCCGGGCCCGCGCCCGCCGAAGACACCAUUGAACUCUUGUCUGAAGAUUGCAGUCUGAGUAGAUUAGCUAAAUCAGUUAAAACUUUCAACAACGGAUCUCUUGGUUCCGGCAUCGAUGAAGAACGCAACGAAAUGCGAUAAGUAAUGUGAAUUGCAGAAUUCAGUGAAUCAUCGAGUCUUUGAACGCACAUUGCGCCCCCUGGUAUUCCGGGGGGCAUGCCUGUCCGAGCGUCAUUGCUGCCCUCAAGCACGGCUUGUGUGUUGGGCUUCGCCCCCCGUUCUUCCGACGGUUGGCCCGAUGGGGCUCAGCGGUGCGGAUCUCGGGCCUCGAUCCUCUGGGGUUUUGGCACAGUUUGGGUACACUCUCACCGUAGUAGUCGGUCUCACUCGUGUGGUGGGCCUGGGUGCUACCCGUUAAACCCCUGUAUUUUCUAGUGGCUGACCUCGAAUUAUGUAGGAAUACCCGCUGAACUUAAGCAUAUCU